AGUUGAUUCCAACGACGUUCUGUACGGUGGCGAUCCGCAACUGCUGGCCGAAAUCAACUCACUGGCCGAUGACGUCAUCAAAGCUGUGACGUCACAUCUUGUCAGCCAAUCACCACUGAGCCGGGCUCAGGUUUGCCAGGCUGCUGACUGCUGCAUCUUCCUGCUGAGAUCCGCUGAUCAGCAGUGCCGCCCGAUCAGCUCAGCAGUGGCUCAGCUGCGCCGGCUCUGCGAUAACGCUGACGGCCUGCCGCCCCACUAUCAGGCUGCGUUGAGGUCUGCUGUUGCUGAUUCCUCGUCGAAGUUCUGAUGAAGAUCGAGCGUUUUCCUUCGCUGGGAAAUCAGUUCAACCAUCGGUGAUUCCAUCAGUCGACAUUUUUAUACCCGUGCAACAGGUGGUUGGGUGGCAUCGCUCCCCACUUCCCUAGACGGAUAGCACUGCUGCCCCAUUUCUCCAAGACCUCCAACAAAUCGGCGUCCCUCCGCCCAUCUCCAAUGACAAACGGUCGUUCCCUCUCACCCUAAUCCACAUCUGCGCGCGCUGUCCUAACUCGGGCGGACAGAUGUUCGCCCUGCCCCGGCCGUGUAGUGAUUCCAGUGAGCCGGGACUCUGCGCCAUGGCCAGCCGUUCCAGCGACCGAGUGGCCGGCGAUAGGCGGUGCUUUUCCUCGCCGGUUUUCCUCUCGCCGAUUCGCUACGUGAUAGGGAUGAGAAAUGGGUCGCUGCUUUGUAUCGCGAAUUGUGAGUUCCACGUAGUUAGUGAUAUCAGGGGUUGGUAGAAUUGGAGAAUCGAAUAGCCCAUACGCCUUCUAGUGAGUAUGAUAUUUUGUGAUAAUAACGUUGUAAUUUACCUUAUAUGUAUGCCACCUGCUUGGGUUGUACUGGAGUGCAUAUCAACCUCAUUACAUCAUAGCCACACAUAUGUCCGGUGGCCAUCGCAAAACCAGCUAAAUCUGCGUGCUGAAUUGUUUUGCAGAGCCGCGAACCGCGUUUCGUGCCGUUUUUCACUGUUAACCGUGGGCUCAAUGGGAGCUUUAUCCAGGCGAAACACGAUUAUUGUAAGCAUGGCGACCAAGUGGACCCACUGUAACCGAAAAUAAAAACGGCUGCAAGGGCUUACACGAUAAUCCGCGGCCGGUCGGCGGCGGAGGAUCCCCCGAGUUGUCCAGAGGAGCUGCUUUGACGUGCCUUACAAGGCCCGCGCGGACAUGUUUUCCUCCUGCCAGUGAAAAGUGUCGCCCAGUGCUUUCGUAGUCGGUGGCUGAAAAUACACGGCCCGGGCGGAA
Molecule: long non-coding RNA, 1283 nt
Organism: Amphibalanus amphitrite
Lineage: Eukaryota; Metazoa; Arthropoda; Thecostraca; Balanomorpha; Balanidae
Exons: 3
Source: RefSeq, a predicted model, not a curated record